CCUACGGGUGGCAGCAGUCGAGAAUCAUUCACAAUGGGGGAAACCCUGAUGGUGCGACGCCGCGUGGGGGAAUGAAGGUCUUCGGAUUGUAAACCCCUGUCAUGUGGGAGCAAAUUAAAAAGAUAGUACCACAAGAGGAAGAGACGGCUAACUCUGUGCCAACAGCCGCGGGAAUACAGAGGUCUCAAGCGGUGUUCGGGAUCACUGGGCGUAAAGCGUGCGGAGGCUGUUUCGUAAGGCGUGUGGGAAAAGGGCGGGCUGAACCCGCGGACGGCACAUGAUACUGCGGGACGAGAGUGAUGGAGGGGGAACCGGAAUUCUCGGUGUAGCAGUGAAAUGCGUAGAUAUCGAGAGGAACACUCGUGGCGAAGGCGGGUUACUGGCCAUUAACUGACGCUGAGGCACGAAGGCCAGGGGAGCGAAAGGGAUUAGAUACCCUAGUAGUC
RNAcentral lists this ribosomal RNA (446 nucleotides) under uncultured bacterium. Its description in RNAcentral is "partial 16S ribosomal RNA". It matches the Rfam family "Bacterial small subunit ribosomal RNA", at positions 338 to 795 of the family's 1533-position model. The record is from RNAcentral.